GACCAUUCUCCUAAGGGGCCAGGACAGUC
This 29-nucleotide non-coding RNA is filed under the name Mus musculus (house mouse). The record is from RNAcentral. Lineage: Eukaryota; Metazoa; Chordata; Mammalia; Rodentia; Muridae.